This 72-nucleotide transfer RNA is filed under the name Providencia phage PSTCR6. It matches the Rfam family "tRNA". From Rfam's summary of the family: Transfer RNA (tRNA) molecules are approximately 80 nucleotides in length. The record is from Rfam by way of RNAcentral. Lineage: Duplodnaviria; Heunggongvirae; Uroviricota; Caudoviricetes; Pantevenvirales; Straboviridae.
GUCGGUAUGGUGUAAUGGAUAGCACAGGAGAAUUCUAAUCUUCUUGUCUGGGUUCGAAUCCUAGUACCGAUA